AUGACUGCUGAAUAGAGCAUUGAAAACACUCGGAUUGUCUGCGAGUUGUUUGUCGAGCAAGUGAAUGCUGGAAAUAGGCCAGGCAAUUAUUUGACACCAAAUGCAUUUGAUGAGGUGACAAGGCAAUUUAAGAUGAGAACUGGGCUUGACUACACACAUACGCAAUUGAAAAACAAAUGGGACAAGCUUAAAUGUGAAUUCAGCAUAUUCAAGAAACUCAAGUUCUGGGAGACCGGAGCCGGAUGGGACUAUGUGAAAAACACUGUGUCACAAGAUGAUGAAUGGUGGAAAAAGGCUAAGAUUGAUAUUAAAGGUUGUGGCAAGUUCAAGAAGAAAGGACUUGCUAAUGAACAAAACUUGCGAACUAUGUUUGGAGAUAUCACAACUUCGGGCACUGACCAUUGGAAUCCCUCUUCGGGCAUGCCUCCUCCCUCUAGUGCGGCAGUGAAAGCCAACAUCAAUGUUGAUGAGGUCGAAGAUCUUGAUUUGGAUGAUACGGAACAAGCAUCUCAGGCAACACUUACUUCAUCUAAAGUGAGGCUUGGAAUCAUCAUUCUGGACAAGAACAAGAAACCCAAGACCUCACAAGUGAUGUGUGAGCAAGUUACAAGGAUUGGUGACAUUGCCGAGGCUUCUCACUCAUCAUUUCAGUCUUUCCUAAAGCAAGAUGAGGUGAACUGUGUCACCUCAGUUAUGGAUGAAGUCAUUGCUUGUGGUGCAGCACCUAAUACCGACGAGUUCUUCAUGGCUACCGAGUUGUUCGUGAAGAGGAUGCAAAGGGAGAUGUUUCUUUAUAUGCCUCUUGAGUCCCGAAAGGGUUGGUUGCACGGGAAGUAUGACUUGAAGUAUGGGAAGUGGUUAAUUUACCGUGUGAUGGUCGGCUAUCCUUUGCUAUCAAAACUAUUUGUGUCUAUGUUGUUGAACCUAAUGCUUGAUACCAUUCUAUCUAUUUAUGUAAGCACUGUGGAACCAUAUUUAUGUCUAUGUUGUUGA
RNAcentral lists this ribosomal RNA (993 nucleotides) under Triticum aestivum (bread wheat). RNAcentral describes it as "partial small subunit ribosomal RNA". Lineage: Eukaryota; Viridiplantae; Streptophyta; Magnoliopsida; Poales; Poaceae. The record is from RNAcentral.